Molecule: long non-coding RNA, 2276 nt
Filed under: Nicotiana tabacum (common tobacco)
Lineage: Eukaryota; Viridiplantae; Streptophyta; Magnoliopsida; Solanales; Solanaceae
Description: long non-coding RNA (NTAB_LNC017963)
Source: RNAcentral
AAAAAUUGAGGUCAUAACACAUGCUUAAUUAACUAGAAUUGAAUAUUUGCAUAACCAAAAGCAUAGCCUACAUGAAGGGGAAACAAUCCUCGCGCCUUUCUCUUAAUUGUUACAACUAUAUAUUUACUUGCAUUCUAAGUGUUCGAUAAAAUUUCUAGACUCGUUUACAUAGAAAUUUUAGAAGUAACUUUAGAAUUAAUUGAACAACCACUCUUUGUUUGAAUAUUACAUUAAGAAUCACCGAGUUUGCACACAUUUGGACACUCUAAUACACACCUACUCCGUGUGGGAUUGGACCCAAACCUUUGUUGGGUUUAUUAUUGCUAACGACCGUACUACUUUCAUAUAGAGAGUAGGAUUUGACGUCACCACAGACACUAGCCAACAUAAAAACAAAGCGCCGGAAACAGGUGAAGAAAGAAGCAAUAGCAACCAUAUUUGGAGCUAUGUUCUACCACAUUUGGAAGGCAAGAAAUUGGAAGGUAUUCAAAGGGAUACAAGUAAAUAUUAACGAGGCUGUGGAUCAGAUAAAGAAGGAGGCUACAGAAAGAUUAAGUUGAAUUAAAAUGUCAAAAAAGAUGCAUAGCAAUAGGGAGUUCUUGAGGAGGAUUACAAGUGUAUAGUAUUUGUUUAGAGGCUUAACAUCAUAAUACCCUCCUUUGAAGGGGUUAUGAACUUAAGUGUUCUCUAAGUGUAAUCAUUUGGUUAUUAAAUGGUAAUAUUCACAGUGUUACAAAAAAAAGUAAAAAAUGAAAAGAGAGAGGGAGGAGGAAAAUGAAGAAUAUGACAAAGGAUAUGCUGUUUGAAGGUCCUUGCCUCAUUAGCUUAACUCUCAAGAGUGAAGUAACACACUUCAUAGGCAUAAAAUCAUGCAGCAUCUCACCAACAAAUUCAUGGACAAAGGCAAUAUAUAGGGGAAUCUGAUGUAAAUAUUUUUUGAAUAUGGAAUUGUAAAGGGAUAAGAAAGUUAUUACCCCAUUUUCUGACCCUAGAAAAAGUGAACCCUUUAAUGCAAGAAGAUAUCUAUAGGCCACAGCACAAAAAUCACAGGAUAUGCUGAUUCUCCAGUGGUUUAUUCGGAGAAGGCAUGCUCUAUAAAGAGUGCAAGUGCUCUGUUGUGAUGAAGUAGAAGGAGAAAAAUGAGAAAGAAGAGUUGGUGAAUGAUAAUAAGGGAAAUAGUGGUAGGGCUACUCUCUAUUGGCAUGCACUUAAUUAUGUAUAGUGAUUCCACUUAAUCAUCACAUAUAUACUUCAGUUGACACGCCAAAGGAGAGCUGCCCUGUUACUAUCUCUGCUUAAUCCUAACACACAAUUCGGCUCCUAGUACCGCGUGGUGCAGAAGGUAUUUUUCUACUUGAUCUACUGUAACUGGUUUCUUCUUUCUCUAAUUUGCGGCAAGAAUUGAUCUAGAAACCAGUUAAUAACCACAUCACCUCAGUUUAAAUUUUUCUAAUUUGAAUUGUCGGUAAUUUUCUUUAUUUUUGUUCCCACAAAUCGUUCAUCUAACGUUAACAUGACUCCAUGUUCAGGUGCAAUUGUCAAGGUCAACAAUCGUCCAAUUCUCCAAGUUGAAAAGACCAGUCAUUUGGUGCAAAAAUAAGAAGAAACUAGUCAAUUUGAACAAAAUCAUGAAUAAGGACUCUGCUCUGACUAUAGAUAUUAAUAUGUUAUUAACAUCACCGAUGGUUAUCUAGAUGUUCUAGCGAGCUGGUUCAGGAAUAUAACUGUUAUCAUAUGCAAAUUAACCCUGUCUAAACUACUAGCUUACACAGUUUGAGCAAAUAAUUCACGCAUUAUACUUAGAAUCCUAAAGAUGAAGAUCGAGGCCACAGAGAGCUAAUGGCUAGGCUUAUAUCAAGGACAAAGAUCAUGACUACGUGAAGAGGAUCUUGUUGUAUGAUUUGACAACCAUUUACGAUUUGUUCAUGGAGCUGCCCGGCCCGGCCCAGAUCCAGGAUUUCUUUAUUUGUGUGGUUGUUGACUUGUUGUGGCCAUUAUAAUACCUUGAGUAUUGAUGAAUCAACUUUGUUUUUCGGUUUAACCUUUGAAUUUAAAUGGGACCAAACUUGCUUAGAUAAUAUAAGCUCAAAAUAGCUUAAAUUAAAGUGAACGGAAAAUAGAGGGAAAAAAUGAAAAUUUAAAUUUCUCUAUUUUACAAAGGGACAUUGUUUCAUAUUGGAGGAGAAAAAGAGUUUUGAUGGGUAUACAAUUGCACUUCCUCUAGUCAGAGGCGGAUGCAAUGUAUCGGCACCCGGGUCAACUGAACCCAAUACUUU